RNAcentral lists this long non-coding RNA (609 nucleotides) under Monodelphis domestica (gray short-tailed opossum). RNAcentral's name for it is "lncRNA (ENSMODG00000031788.2)". The record is from RNAcentral. Lineage: Eukaryota; Metazoa; Chordata; Mammalia; Didelphimorphia; Didelphidae.
AACAAAAUGGGUAUUUAAACUGACUGUACCGCCUACUUGGUCUCUCUGCUUCCACUUCUAGGCUCACACGUCUCUCUACCAAGCAGGCAAAAUGUAAUGAAUCUGAGUACAGCAAUGUGGCAGACAGAUUUCUCUUCCUCCACCCACCCCACCCACAAGCCGAAAAUGACAAUGAGCCAAAGUCAGAUCCAAGAGAUCCUGAGAAUAUCUAUUUCCAGUCUCGGGAUUACCUCCUUUCAGAUGAAUCCCUGAGUUCAAGAGUCCUUGAGUUAGAGAGUCACAUGAUAGCCUCCCCGAGUGAGAUUUCCUUACCAGCAUACUUCUUGUCCAAUAGUAACUCCCUAUACUUGCCAUAUUACAAGGGACAAAGAGACCUGAAUUUUGCCAGUCUUCCAUUAUAUUUCUGUUCAUUGUUCAGAUGAUAUAGGCCCAAGGUAAAGGGGAAAUAUUUGUUCAUUAUUAAGUGGCUCUACCUUCCUGGGGAGCUUAAUGAGGAUAAUGGACUAUUUUUAACAUUUUAUGUUUCCUGUGUUUAUUCAUGCACCUGCAAGUCAUUUGACUCUUAUCCUUUUUUCUGAGUAAAAGAAAUAAAAAGCUAUUCCAAACCCA